AUUGAUAAGUUUGAAGUGAAAUCCUAUAGCUAAACUAUAGAACUGCUUUGAAAACUGUUAAUCUAGAAUGUGGGAGAGGUAGAUGGAAUUUCUGGUGUAGGGGUAAAAUCCGUAGAGAUCAGAAGGAAUACCGAUUGCGAAGGCGAUCUACUGGAACAUUAUUGACGCUGAGAUGCGAAAGCGUGGGGAGCAAACAGGAUUAGAUACCCUGGUAGUCCACGCCCUAAACGAUGUACACUAGUUGUUGUGAGACUAGAUCUUGCAGUAAUGCAGUUAACACAUUAAGUGUACCGCCUGGGGAGUACGGUCGCAAGAUUAAAACUCAAAGGAAUAGACGGGGACCCGCACAAGCGGUGGAGCAUGUGGUUUAAUUCGACGAUACACGAAGAACCUUACCUGGACUUGACAUAGUAAGAAUGAUUUAGAGAUAGAUUAGUGUCUGCUUGCAGAAACUUGCAUACAGGUGCUGCACGGCUGUCGUCAGCUCGUGUCGUGAGAUGUUGGGUUAAGUCCCGCAACGAGCGCAACCCUCGUCGUUAGUUGCUAACAGUUCGGCUGAGAACUCUAACGAGACUGCCUACGCAAGUAGGAGGAAGGUGAGGAUGACGUCAAGUCAUCAUGGCCCUUACGUCCAGGGCUACACACGUGCUACAAUGGGAUAUACAAAGAGCCGCAAUACAGUGAUGUGGAGCAAAUCUUAUAAAAUAUCUCCCAGUUCGGAUUGUAGUCUGCAACUCGACUACAUGAAGUUGGAAUCGCUAGUAAUCGUAGAUCAGCUAUGCUACGGUGAAUACGUUCCCGGGUCUUGUACUCACCGCCCGUCACACCAUGGGAGUUGAACUCAUUCGAAGCGGGGAUGCUAAAGUAGCUACCUUCCACAGUGGAUUCAGCGACUGGGGUGAAGUCGUAACAAGGUAACCGUAGGAGAACCUGCGGCU
Molecule: ribosomal RNA, 938 nt
Filed under: uncultured bacterium
Lineage: Bacteria
Description: bacterial SSU rRNA
Rfam family: Bacterial small subunit ribosomal RNA
Source: RNAcentral